RNAcentral lists this RNase P RNA (367 nucleotides) under Tannerella sp. Its description in RNAcentral is "RNase P RNA component class A". It matches the Rfam family "Bacterial RNase P class A". From Rfam's summary of the family: Ribonuclease P (RNase P) is a ubiquitous endoribonuclease, found in archaea, bacteria and eukarya as well as chloroplasts and mitochondria. Its best characterised activity is the generation of mature 5'-ends of tRNAs by cleaving the 5'-leader elements of precursor-tRNAs. The record is from RNAcentral. Lineage: Bacteria; Pseudomonadati; Bacteroidota; Bacteroidia; Bacteroidales; Tannerellaceae.
GCAGCAUACCGGUCUGUCGCUCGUGCGAAAUAAAACGGGAGGAAAGUCCGGGCAACACAGAGCGCCACGCUUCUUAACGAAAAGCUGUUCGCGAGGGCAGAGUAGCGUAACAGAAAAUAACCGCAGCGAAAGUUGUAAGGGUGAAAAGGUGAGGUAAGCGCUUACCGCUUCCGGCGGAAUCCGGAAGGUCAGUACGCCUCGUGGGUUGUAAGGUCAAAUAAACCGGCGCAUGUAGAGUUGCUCGCUCGAUGUCGGAGGGUGGACUGCUAAUGGAAUUUGUCGGCAACGACAAAUCAAGAUAAAUGACAGGCACAUCAUGCCCAUAAAGCGUGAUGAACAGAACCCGGCUUACAGGUAGGCUGCCUUU